Molecule: ribosomal RNA, 233 nt
Filed under: uncultured bacterium
Lineage: Bacteria
Description: partial 16S ribosomal RNA
Rfam family: Bacterial small subunit ribosomal RNA
Source: RNAcentral
GAUCCUGGCUCAGAUUGAACGCUGGCGGCGUGCUUAACACAUGCAAGUCGUACGCGAAAGGGACUUCGGUCCCGAGUAAAGUGGCGCACGGGUGAGUAACACGUGGAUAAUCUGCCUCUAUGAUGGGGAUAACAGUUGGAAACGACUGCUAAUACCGAAUACGCUCAUGAUGAACUUUGUGAGGAAAAGGUAGGGCCUCUGCUUGCAAGCUAUCGCAUAGAGAUGAGUCCGCG